GAUGAACGCUGGCGGCGUGCCUAAUACAUGCAAGUCGAGCGAACAGACGAGGAGCUUGCUCCUCUGACGUUAGCGGCGGACGGGUGAGUAACACGUGGAUAACCUACCUAUAAGACUGGGAUAACUUCGGGAAACCGGAGCUAAUACCGGAUAAUAUAUUGAACCGCAUGGUUCAAUAGUGAAAGACGGUUUUGCUGUCACUUAUAGAUGGAUCCGCGCCGCAUUAGCUAGUUGGUAAGGUAACGGCUUACCAAGGCAACGAUGCGUAGCCGACCUGAGAGGGUGAUCGGCCACACUGGAACGGAGACACGGUCCAGACUCCUACGGGAGGCAGCAGUAGGGAAUCCUCCGCAAUGGGCGAAAGCUUGACGGAGCAACGCCGCGUGAGUGAUGAAGGUCUUCGGAUCGUAAAACUCUGUUAUUAGGGAAGAACAAAUGUGUAAGUAACUAUGCACGUCUUGACGGUACCUAAUCAGAAAGCCACGGCUAACUACGUG
RNAcentral lists this ribosomal RNA (497 nucleotides) under uncultured bacterium. RNAcentral describes it as "partial 16S ribosomal RNA". It matches the Rfam family "Bacterial small subunit ribosomal RNA", at positions 28 to 507 of the family's 1533-position model. The record is from RNAcentral.